Molecule: ribosomal RNA, 408 nt
Filed under: Pristimantis sp. CFBH25893
Lineage: Eukaryota; Metazoa; Chordata; Amphibia; Anura; Strabomantidae
Description: partial large subunit ribosomal RNA
Rfam family: Bacterial large subunit ribosomal RNA
Source: RNAcentral
ACCGUGCGAAGGUAGCGUAAUCACUUGUCCCCUAAAUAGAGACUAGUAUGAAAGGCAUCACGAAAACUAAACUGUCUCCUUUUUCUAAUCAGUGAAACUAAUCUCCCCGUGAAGAAGCGGGAAUCCACCUAUAAGACGAGAAGACCCUAUGGAGCUUUAAACAUUAUAACAAUGUCUAACUUUUUUAACCACACAGUGUUUACAUGUUUUUGGUUGGGGUGACCACGGAGUAUAAUAAACCCUCCGCAAAAAUUCUUCAGUAAGUUACAACUUUAUGCAUCAUUUAAAUGACUUCAUUGACCCAAUAAUUGAUUAACGAACCAAGUUACCCUAGGGAUAACAGCGCAAUCCACUUCAAAAGUUCCUAUCGACAAGUGGGCUUACGACCUCGAUGUUGGAUCAGGCUAU